This 426-nucleotide ribosomal RNA is filed under the name uncultured Paenibacillus sp. Its description in RNAcentral is "bacterial SSU rRNA". It matches the Rfam family "Bacterial small subunit ribosomal RNA", at positions 355 to 774 of the family's 1533-position model. Lineage: Bacteria; Bacillati; Bacillota; Bacilli; Caryophanales; Paenibacillaceae. The record is from RNAcentral.
UAGGGAAUCUUCCGCAAUGGACGCAAGUCUGACGGAGCAACGCCGCGUGAGUGAUGAAGGUUUUCGGAUCGUAAAGCUCUGUUGCCCUAGACGAACAGCAGGGAGAGUAACUGCUCUCUGUGUGACGGUAUAGGAGAAGAAAGCCCCGGCUAACUACGUGCCAGCAGCCGCGGUAAUACGUAGGGGGCAAGCGUUGUCCGGAAUUAUUGGGCGUAAAGCGCGCGCAGGCGGCGGAUUAAGUUUGGUGUUUAAGCCCGGGGCUCAACCCCGGUUCGCAUCGAAAACUGGUUCGCUUGAGUGUAGGAGAGGAAAGUGGAAUUCCACGUGUAGCGGUGAAAUGCGUAGAGAUGUGGAGGAACACCAGUGGCGAAGGCGACUUUCUGGCCUAUAACUGACGCUGAGGCGCGAAAGCGUGGGGAGCAAACA